AUGUAUAGGGUCGGUAAG
RNAcentral lists this unclassified non-coding RNA (18 nucleotides) under Mus musculus (house mouse). RNAcentral describes it as "oocyte_clustered_small_RNA1946". Lineage: Eukaryota; Metazoa; Chordata; Mammalia; Rodentia; Muridae. The record is from RNAcentral.